This 492-nucleotide ribosomal RNA is filed under the name uncultured bacterium. RNAcentral's name for it is "partial 16S ribosomal RNA". It matches the Rfam family "Bacterial small subunit ribosomal RNA", at positions 29 to 507 of the family's 1533-position model. The record is from RNAcentral.
AGUGAACGCUGGCGGUAGGCCUAACACAUGCAAGUCGAACGGCAGCACAGUAAGAGCUUGCUCUUACGGGUGGCGAGUGGCGGACGGGUGAGGAAUACAUCGGAAUCUACUUUUUCGUGGGGGAUAACGUAGGGAAACUUACGCUAAUACCGCAUACGACCUACGGGUGAAAGCAGGGGAGCUUCGGACCUUGCGCGAUUGAAUGAGCCGAUGUCGGAUUAGCUAGUUGGCGGGGUAAAGGCCCACCAAGGCGACGAUCCGUAGCUGGUCUGAGAGGAUGAUCACCCACCCUGGAACUGAGACACGGUCCAGACUCCUACGGGAGGCAGCAGUGUGGAAUAUUGGACAAUGGGCGCAAGCCUGAUCCAGCCAUACCGCGUGGGUGAAGAAGGCCUUCGGGUUGUAAAGCCCUUUUGUUGGGAAAGAAAAGCAGCAGGUUAAUACCCCGCUGUUCUGACGGUACCCAAAGAAUAAGCACCGGCUAACUUCGUG